This is a long non-coding RNA of Carya illinoinensis, 2267 nucleotides long. RefSeq lists it as uncharacterized. Lineage: Eukaryota; Viridiplantae; Streptophyta; Magnoliopsida; Fagales; Juglandaceae. The transcript has 3 exons. The record is from RefSeq and is a predicted model, not a curated record.
GCAGUAUUCUUCUGUGACUGUAGCAACUUCCAUGAAAAAAUAAUAAAAAAAAAAAAUUACUUGUUCUGAGCUUCCAAAUGAGAAUAACUUCAAACCGGAUGUGGUGUGAAGAGAGAGUUUACACCCUCUAAUGAUCGGGCGACAAAUCACAGUUCUAAAAAUAUUAAAAUAAAAUCAAUCUCAGGUGAUUUUUCAAUACAAUCUUCUCUCUCCCCAGUCUUCCUUCAGUCUCCCUCCCCUCGAUCCAUUGCAGCCUUAAGCAAAUAAUUAGCAAAUGGGUCCACCCGAAAAAACCUUAGAAACCCACCAGUACGCACAAAACAAAACACACUUUACCCAUGGCCGCAUUAUCCAAUUUCGGGCAUCUCGCUGCCUUAAGUUUCUUCAUUUUGUUCUUGGAAUCAUUGUUCGGUAACUAGCCUCUCCUUUUCAAAUUUGAAUUUCAAAUUCAACGUCUUAAUUUCAAUAUUUCCAGAAGACUAGCAGUAUCUUCUGCUCUCUCUCUCUCUCUCAAAAAUACUUCCACUUGAUAUAAUUUCCUGGGAGCAGAUAAGGGCUACGACGAUGAUGAUGGAAAUGAUUAGUAUUACUUGGACGAUGAGCUCGUGCCGUGGAAUGUGAGCGAUAAGGUCGGGAGGCAGAGGAUGAGGAAGUUGGGGAAGAGGGCGUUUCCAUAGAUGCACAACUCCAAGAGGUCUCCUUAUCUGUUUGUGACGCCUGGUUGUGUGCGUGGAAAGCAUGGUCUGGGUUUGACUUGGCUUAGUUUAUCUGGUUGCUGUGUAAUUCACUUGUUAUCUUUCAUUGUCGAUGAAGAUCAUUAACUUUUAAUGGAAAACUUGAUUGGUUAUUAAAAAAAAAAAAAAAAAAAAAGCACGGCCAGUCUGUAAAUACUGAAGGUUGAACGAAGAGCUCAGUAGAAUUCUUCCACAAUUGGAGAUGAUGCGGAAAAGGAAAUCUGAGAGAGGAAAUCAAUUCCUAGAAGUCCAAGAGAAGAUACAGAACAUCUCAAACGAGAUCUACGGAUCCACAGGGUAUACUUAUUUCAUCCAUGUUGGUUGUAGAUGAACGUGAUUUGUCUUUGAGAAAGCUUGAGGAGUUGCACAGAGAGCUGCAUGAACUUCUGAAGCAAUGGUUGAUGCGAUGGCUUCAAAAAUCCUGGCAUGGGAAGGAAAGAGGCAUUGAGUUCACAUAUGAUGGUGAUGAGAACCGAUCGAUACAAUGCUGGAAGAGGUGCGCAUCUUACUCUCAAGCGUGCUGAGAAAGCUUGCUCUUUGGUUAAUAAACUUCCAGGUAUACUCUGAUCAUAUAGCUUGUCAGCCUUAAUCUUGAAUUCGCAUUUAUGUGAGUUCAUUAAUUAGAAUUAUUUUAUUAGUAUCUAUAGGAUUAACUAAUUUGGCUGGUUUUCAUUGAAGUUAUGAUUCUUUAGUUUAUGAGUUUGCUCAAGAAGAAGCCAAAUAUAUUAUAUUAUAUAUAUAUAUCAUAAUAGUUAUAAUCUUUCUACUUUAUUAUUUCUGUCCACGUGGUUUGUGUACGGCAAUGGUUGAUGCGUUGGCUUCAAAAAGAGGGAAAGGGGCAUUUAGUUGACAUAUGAAGGUCUAAGUACGCUCCCUAUUCUUCAAGGUGCUGGGUGUUUAAAUAGUUGGUCUUACUUGAUAACUUUUUUUUUUCCUUUUAAGAAAGAGAUGAAGAUCACCUGCCCAUGAGUGAUCCCCUUCCAAUUUUAUUAAAAAAAACCCUAACUUAUGGCGGAGGAAUACCGUGGUAACAAAAACAUCCCAAUUUCAAAUGCAAGACCUAGCCCCACAAAAAUUAGCAUCUAUUGUAGGGGAAACCCCAACUAUCCAAACGUAAAAGACCUCUAAGUCUUCCUGUACCAAAAUAUUCUCCAAAAAAAUUUAGAGACCCACUAUUAGCACCAAGUUUAGCUAAAAAAUCAGCGACCAUAUUUGCUUUUCUAAACACCACUUUAAAGUGAACAUUAAGCUCCCUAAAUAGACAUUGAGCUUCCUCUCAAAAAUCCCAAAGGUUCCAAUAAUUACAAACACUUGCGAGAAACCAUCCCACUAUAACACUAGAAUCUGACUCUAUCACGAAGUUCCUCAACCCAAGUUGCUUGCAUAUUCGAAGGUCAUCAAUAACGGCUCGACUUUCCGCAAUAGUAUUCGUGGCUUGACCAUAGCAAUGAGCAAACCCACCCAAGACGCAACAAGUAUCAUCUCUAACAAUGAGCAAACCCACCCAAGACCAUAGCAAUGGCUAGACCAUAU